ACAACAUGAUGGGGACAUUUAUGAAUUAAAUCCUUAAGUCUUUCCCAGGUCUCAUGGAAUUGCUCACCAUCAACUUGCGAAAAGCUAGUGAUGGCUCGCCUAAUUUG
This is a small nucleolar RNA of Telopea speciosissima, 107 nucleotides long. The record is from RefSeq and is a predicted model, not a curated record. NCBI's taxonomy places the organism in Eukaryota, Viridiplantae, Streptophyta, Magnoliopsida, Proteales, Proteaceae.